AUAAUAUAUGCUAAAAAAAAGGUGUUUUAAUAGCUUAUUAAUCUAUACAAUAUAUAACUUCCCCUUUAAACAAUACCAUUUACUUCUGCUCCAUAUCUUCCCAGAGUUGCUUCAUCUUCUACUUGGUGGACUACAAGCCCCUCAGGUUUAAAUGGUGGUACGUGUAGCCAGACUGGGCCUUUGCACUGGGCUGGGCCAUGGCCCUCUCCUCCAACCUCCUGGUGCCACUGUGAUCGAUUGGCAGGAUCUAUGUUGGCACAGGCCGCCUCAGGCAGGACUACCUGGCCUGAUGACUCCUUGCUGUCCCCAGUCCACCUGGUUGUGCUGCUACUCCAGUUUCAACUGUUCUGCCUGCGGCUAUGGAACCCUGACCUGUUCACCGGAAUUGCUACCUUGUCCCAGACCUGC
This 408-nucleotide long non-coding RNA is filed under the name Salmo salar (Atlantic salmon). RNAcentral describes it as "lncRNA (ENSSSAG00000099831.1)". The record is from RNAcentral. Lineage: Eukaryota; Metazoa; Chordata; Actinopteri; Salmoniformes; Salmonidae.